This 420-nucleotide ribosomal RNA is filed under the name Fusobacteriota bacterium. RNAcentral describes it as "Fusobacteria bacterium partial 16S ribosomal RNA". It matches the Rfam family "Bacterial small subunit ribosomal RNA", at positions 355 to 776 of the family's 1533-position model. Lineage: Bacteria; Fusobacteriati; Fusobacteriota. The record is from RNAcentral.
UGGGGGAUAUUGCACAAUGGGCGAAAGCCUGAUGCAGCGACGCCGCGUGGGGGAUGAAGGCCUUCGGGUUGAAAACUUCUUUUGCUCUGAACAAGGCAUGCCUUUGGGGUGUGUUGAGUGUAGGGGUUGAUUAGCGCCGGCUAACUACGUGCCAGCAGCCGCGGUAAUACGUAGGGCGCGAGCGUUGUCCGGAAUUAUUGGGCGUAAAGGGCUUGUAGGUGGCUGGUUGCGUCUGUCGUGAAAGCUCAUGGCUUAACUGUGGGUUUGCGGUGGGUACGGGCUGGCUUGAGUGCAGUAGGGGAGGCUGGAAUUCCUGGUGUAGCGGUGGAAUGCGCAGAUAUCAGGAGGAAUACCGGUGGCGAAGGCGGGUCUCUGGGCUGUUACUGACGCUGAGGAGCGAAAGCGUGGGGAGCGAACAGG